Salvia splendens (bonfire salvia) is the source of this 374-nucleotide long non-coding RNA. RefSeq lists it as uncharacterized. Lineage: Eukaryota; Viridiplantae; Streptophyta; Magnoliopsida; Lamiales; Lamiaceae. The record is from RefSeq and is a predicted model, not a curated record. The transcript has 4 exons.
CUUGCCUUGGUCGGGUCAACCCGGUGGUGGAUUGAAGCGUGUAGAUUUCUAUUUUGGCUCAUUUCUUCCAAAUAUUAGUACUCCAAUCGCCAUUUUUAAUAACCAUGGACGGCUUUUGGGGUUUGCUACUGGCCCCAUUCAGAUCUGGAAAGACGGUGACUGCGUUGAGGAAUCUUCGACCGAUAUCUGGCAUGCGAUUUGCACAGCUGUGAGAUCAGCAUGCUCCGUUGCACAAAUUAAAGGGGAACAAGUGACCAGUUUGGGUUUUGCUGUUACCUGGGGAAAUUGGUCUUGUGUGCAUUUGCCAUUGAUUCUGAUGGAGAACCUGUGACAGUUUCUUUGACUCAUGACUCAGAGGCGGAAUGUUAUAGUCU